Molecule: ribosomal RNA, 253 nt
Filed under: uncultured bacterium
Lineage: Bacteria
Description: partial 16S ribosomal RNA
Rfam family: Bacterial small subunit ribosomal RNA
Source: RNAcentral
UACGAAGGGGGCUAGCGUUGCUCGGAAUUACUGGGCGUAAAGGGCGCGUAGGCGGCCUGCUAAGUCGAACGUGAAAUCCCUGGGCUCAACCCAGGAACUGCGUCCGAUACUGGUUGGCUUGAAUCCGGGAGAGGGAUGCGGAAUUCCAGGUGUAGCGGUGAAAUGCGUAGAUAUCUGGAGGAACACCGGUGGCGAAGGCGGCAUCCUGGACCGGCAUUGACGCUGAGGCGCGAAAGCGUGGGGAGCAAACAGG